This 352-nucleotide unclassified non-coding RNA is filed under the name soil metagenome. Its description in RNAcentral is "partial contains 5.8S ribosomal RNA, internal transcribed spacer 2, and large subunit ribosomal RNA". The stretch from base 1 to 120 matches the Rfam family "5.8S ribosomal RNA", at positions 35 to 154 of the family's 154-position model. The record is from RNAcentral.
GAUGAAGAACGUAGCGAAAUGCGAUAAGUAGUGUGAAUUGCAGAAUUCAGUGAAUCAUCGAAUCUUUGAACGCACAUUGCGCCCGCCAGUAUUCUGGCGGGCAUGCCUGUUCGAGCGUCAUUACAACCCUCAGGCCCCCGGGCCUGGCGUUGGGGAUCGGCGGAGCCCCCCGUGGGCACACGCCGUCCCCCAAAUGCAGUGGCGGUCCCGCCGCAGCUUCCAUCGCGUAGUAGCUAACACCUCGCGACUGGAGAGCGGCGCGGCCACGCCGUAAAACACCCAACUCUUCUGAAGUUGACCUCGAAUCAGGUAGGAAUACCCGCUGAACUUAAGCAUAUCAAUAAGCGGAGGA